UGAGGAAGAGGGAGCUGGGAAUGUUUGGGUGUAUUUGGUAAGGCUGGAGAGCCUACCUUGUGAGAAGUGGAGGAUAUUCCCUUCACCAAGGAAACAAGGGAUGCAUCGAAAAUGAAUACAUUAACAUCUUUUGUCGUAAAAACGUGAGCCAUAGUUUCCCUAUCACUGAUAGAGCUUUAGACUGGACCUUGAGAAAGUAUUUUCAUAUUGUGCUAGGGAUUGAACCCAGAGUCUUGUGUGUGCUGGGCAAGUGGUAUACUAUUGAGCUACACUCCCAGCCCUUAGACUGGACCUUGAGAAAGUCCUCCUUCCACAGCUCUGCUCUCAGUGAACAAUAUCACCAUCCAGUGACAGCUCAGACCAAAGAGCCAGUAGGCAUUAUUUGUACCCCUGCCACCCUCCUGUGUUACUUUUCUCUCAUUGCUGAGACAAAAUACCUGGCAUGAAAAGUUAAAGGGGAAGAGGUUUCAGUCUAUAAUCAGCUGACUCCAAGGCAGGGAUGACAAGCAUGGCAGAACAGAAACAACAUGGCACACAAAGCAAAGGUAAUGAGAGUUAACAGUGCCUCCUUGCCCCUUUUACUCAGACUACGUAGGGUGAGUAGCACUCACACCCUUAAUCCUAGUGCGCUGGAGACUAGCAUUGCAUUAUGAUCAAUUCCAGCUUCACACAUGAGACUCUGGGGGGACAUCUAGACCAAGCCAUAAUACCUCUUGUUAGUGUUCCUCACCACAUGAGACAUUCCAUCAUGCUCCUUUUAUGCCCUGGGGCAGAUCUUCCUCUCCACUCAUUCAGAUUACUCUAGGGUUCUCCCAGCAGUUUCCUUCUUAUGUCUUCCCAUUGUGCACUGUGGGCUUUCUAAACUCAAGGCCAUUUAUGCCACUGUCCUGAGUCAUAUUCCCACAGCUUUCCAUUACCUCAGAGCAAAGCCACCAAUGCAGAGGGGUGAGGGGGGAUGACUCAAGUGCAUGGCUUUCCUGCUUUCUAGUCCUCCAGAUCUCCUAGAUCACCUGGAGGAAGUUGGUCUGCAGAAAGGGAGAGAGAGGACAGCACGCCCUAGGAAGCACCGCUGAUGAUGGAAGAGAGAAAUCGAUGACUUUUAAACACUUGGAUUAAAAUGCCUGAAGCCUGCAGCAUUCCUGGACAUCCUGAGGUAAGACAAGAAAUAAAAAGUAGAAAGGAGACAAGGAAAUCAUAACAAAAAAUUAUACUUUUAAGAAGACUGCAACUUCCAGAACCCAGCUAAUCUAUAAGUUAAUCCAUAUCAGCAUUCCUUUGGUUAAAUUUAGGCUCCUUUACUACCAGACCCAUUGCACAAAAAACUCAGGAAUACUAAAAGUCCAUAAAUUGACUUGAGAAAGUAAAAAGUAAGAAUCUGAUCCUAAAAUAAAGGAGCCAAUUGAGAGAAUCUAAAUGUUUAAAUCACCUUUUUAAAAAAAUUUUUUUUAUUGGUACAUUUUAGGUAUACAGUAUAAUGACAUUCAUCAUUGGAAAUUUGCACCUUUACAUAAUCCAUCUUGGUUCUUAUUUUUUCCCCAUUCCCCUGCCCUCCCUUCAAUCCCUCCACUUCUCCUUAUCUACAAAGACUGUUUCCAUUUUUAAAUUUUCUCACAUUAAUUCCACCCCCUUCUUUCUU
RNAcentral lists this long non-coding RNA (1636 nucleotides) under Fukomys damarensis (Damara mole-rat). RNAcentral's name for it is "lncRNA (ENSFDAG00000032302.1)". Lineage: Eukaryota; Metazoa; Chordata; Mammalia; Rodentia; Bathyergidae. The record is from RNAcentral.